RNAcentral lists this long non-coding RNA (677 nucleotides) under Monodelphis domestica (gray short-tailed opossum). RNAcentral's name for it is "lncRNA (ENSMODG00000031602.2)". The record is from RNAcentral. Lineage: Eukaryota; Metazoa; Chordata; Mammalia; Didelphimorphia; Didelphidae.
UAAGUCACUGUAGUAUCUUUGCCAAAAAAACCCCAAAUGAGGUCCCAAAGAGUCAGACAUGACUGAACAACAACAACAACAACUUCUAUUAAAUCUGUUACCAAUUUGGUGAGCCCUUGGGAGCUGAGGUUACUAGGCUGCCUAAGGAGAAGCAAACAAACCCUGGCCAACAACAGAGAAGGUCAAAGUUCUUGUGCUGAUCAGAGGCCAGAGGCCUAGACAAAAUAACCUCACAUCACGCAAGAGACCACCUGCUCCAAAACGGAAGUCCAAAAAGAAUCAAGAGAGACCGCCCUCAAAAGCCUUUGAAUCAGCUUAAAUACCUUCUCAAUCUCGGCCCAGGCAAAGAACAGUAAACUCAUGAGGAUGAUUAUCUCUAAUGACUUGUCCUGGGUAACCAGUGCUCAAAAGAUUCUGUGAACUGAUGACCUUGUUUUAUGAAACCUCCAAAUUUACCUUUGUUCCUUGGAGAACUUGCCUUCAGGUUGUACCUUAUUGGAUGUCCAGUUUUUUGACAGCAAACCUGCAGGCUGAGGCCAAGUAGGUGAAGGUUUUUAACUGUUGGGGCCAAUGAGGUUGUCAGAUCAAGCAUGGAAAUUGGAGAAAACUAGGUAAGAUUUCAGGUCAGGUCAGUAAGGUUUCAAUGGGCAGGGAAUACUAUUAAUAAUUAUAAUACU